GAUGAACGCUGGCGGCGCGCCUAACACAUGCAAGUCGAACGGCACCUAUCUUCGGAUAGAAGCGAGUGGCGAACGGCUGAGUAACACGUGGAGAACCUGCCCCCUCCCCCGGGAUAGCCGCCCGAAAGGACGGGUAAUACCGGAUACCCCGGGGUGCCGCAUGGCACCCCGGCUAAAGCCCCGACGGGAGGGGAUGGCUCCGCGGCCCAUCAGGUAGACGGCGGGGUGACGGCCCACCGUGCCGACAACGGGUAGCCGGGUUGAGAGACCGACCGGCCAGAUUGGGACUGAGACACGGCCCAGACUCCUACGGGAGGCAGCAGUGGGGAAUCUUGCGCAAUGGGGGGAACCCUGACGCAGCGACGCCGCGUGCGGGACGGAGGCCUUCGGGUCGUAAACCGCUUUCAGCAGGGAAGAGUCAAGACUGUACC
RNAcentral lists this ribosomal RNA (431 nucleotides) under uncultured bacterium. RNAcentral describes it as "bacterial SSU rRNA". It matches the Rfam family "Bacterial small subunit ribosomal RNA", at positions 28 to 479 of the family's 1533-position model. The record is from RNAcentral.